GUCAGCCGCCGCGGUAAUACGUAGGGGGCAAGCGUUAUCCGGAUUUACUGGGUGUAAAGGGGAGCGUAGACGGUUCUGCAAGUCUGGAGUGAAAGCCCGGGGCUCAACCCCGGGACGUGCUUUGGAAAUACUGUGGGACUAGAGUGCAGGAGAGGUAAGUGGAAUCCCUAGUGUAGCGGUGAAAUGCGUAGAUAUUAGGAGGAACACCAGUGGCGAAGGCGGCUUACUGGACUGUAACUGACGUUGAGGCUCGAAAGCGUGGGGAGCAAACAGGAUUAGAUACCCUGGUCAGU
Molecule: ribosomal RNA, 293 nt
Filed under: uncultured Lachnospiraceae bacterium
Lineage: Bacteria; Bacillati; Bacillota; Clostridia; Lachnospirales; Lachnospiraceae
Description: partial 16S ribosomal RNA
Rfam family: Bacterial small subunit ribosomal RNA
Source: RNAcentral